GCAAGUCGAGGGGUAACGGAGAAGCUUGCUUUUGCCGACGACCGGCGCACGGGUGCGGAACGCGUAUGGAACCUAACACAGUCAGGGGAAUAGCCCAGAGAAAUUUGGUUUAAUGGCACAUAGUAUUAUUGUGACACAUGUUACAAUAAUUAAAGAUUUAUCGGACAGUGAUGGCCAUGCGUACCAUUAGUUAGUUGGUAAGGUAACGGCUUACCAAGACAGCGAUGAGUAGGUGCCCUGAGAGGGGGAUC
RNAcentral lists this ribosomal RNA (251 nucleotides) under uncultured bacterium. RNAcentral's name for it is "partial 16S ribosomal RNA". It matches the Rfam family "Bacterial small subunit ribosomal RNA", at positions 57 to 305 of the family's 1533-position model. The record is from RNAcentral.